This 460-nucleotide ribosomal RNA is filed under the name uncultured bacterium. RNAcentral's name for it is "bacterial SSU rRNA". It matches the Rfam family "Bacterial small subunit ribosomal RNA", at positions 30 to 507 of the family's 1533-position model. The record is from RNAcentral.
AUUGAACGCUGGCGGCAUGCCUUACACAUGCAAGUCGAACGGCAGCGGGCCUUCGGGUGCCGGCGAGUGGCGAACGGGUGAGUAAUGCAUCGGAACGUGCCAUUGAGUGGGGGAUAACGUAGCGAAAGUUGCGCUAAUACCGCAUAUUCUGUGAGCAGGAAAGCAGGGGACCGCAAGGCCUUGCGCUCUUUGAGCGGCCGAUGUCAGAUUAGCUAGUUGGUGAGGUAAAGGCUUACCAAGGCGACGAUCUGUAGCGGGUCUGAGAGGAUGAUCCGCCACACUGGAACUGAGACACGGCCCAGACUCCUACGGGAGGCAGCAGCUAGGAAUUUUCCGCAAUGGGCGAAAGCCUGACGGAGCGACGCCGCGUGGGGGAAGAAGGUCCUACGGGAUUGUAAACCUCUUUUCUGCGGGAGGAGAAAGGACUGUACCGCAGGAAUAAGUCCCGGCAAACUACGUG